This 305-nucleotide long non-coding RNA is filed under the name Ananas comosus (pineapple). RNAcentral describes it as "long non-coding RNA (ACOM_LNC002672)". The record is from RNAcentral. Lineage: Eukaryota; Viridiplantae; Streptophyta; Magnoliopsida; Poales; Bromeliaceae.
UUCUAAUAGAAAACAAUUUUCGCCUUCCAUUCAAGUCUGAUUCACAUGCAGUUAUUAAUUUUCUUUUAGGAAUACUCUUUAAAGUGAUUAUGAAUUAUUUCUAAUCUUUUUAGAGGAAAUGCUUCAAUACACCAAGUAAAAUAAAUCUAGCCGUUCAUAUUUCAAGGGCGAGAUUGACUUUUGCAUAGUAGUUACCUGCUCAACAGGUUACUAUUCGUAAGGGUAAUAUGGAAAAAUAAAUACAAGGUUAUUACCAAAUUUGAUCAACCCUACACAAAUAUUUGUUUUCUUGUUUAAUUUUGUUA